CUUUUCUGCCCACCCUCCUCGCUCUGAAGUCUGUUGGGUGGGAGCGGGGGAGAAGGCAGAAAAAAAAAAUUGCUGUUCAACUCUGCCAAAGGAGAAAGGAUUAAAGAAAUCGGAAGCAAGAUAAAGGCACUGUAGGUGAAUGCUGUAAAUUCUCCUUAGAACUAGUCCUGGCAUCUUCCUGGAUGGAUCCUUGCAUUAAUUAAUAGGUUUGGAUAGGUUCCAUUGAACCCUGUGGUCAACUGGUGAACUUAUUUGAGGCUGGAUGAUCUAGAAUGAUCACACAUGUCUGAUCAUUGAUUUCAUGUCGCCUGGAGUGAUGACAAUGGCACAUUUUGCUUCAUUAUUAGCAAGUUGGCACUGACUCUUCCAUGGAGUUUCCAUAGGGCUUGCAGAAGAACUGUAAAAAGGCGAGCCCGAGCACUCUUUUCAAAUACUUCCUUAACUCUUCAGGUGAUUUGUUCUUUUGGUAGAAACAAGGCUAAGCCCAAAUGAAAGGGCCGGAAUACUGGCUUCUUACAUCUUGGUGGUGGGAACU
Long non-coding RNA from Perognathus longimembris pacificus (Pacific pocket mouse), 535 nucleotides. RefSeq lists it as uncharacterized. The transcript is spliced from 3 exons. NCBI's taxonomy places the organism in Eukaryota, Metazoa, Chordata, Mammalia, Rodentia, Heteromyidae. The record is from RefSeq and is a predicted model, not a curated record.